RNAcentral lists this ribosomal RNA (429 nucleotides) under Chloroflexota bacterium. RNAcentral describes it as "Chloroflexi bacterium partial 16S ribosomal RNA". It matches the Rfam family "Bacterial small subunit ribosomal RNA", at positions 355 to 776 of the family's 1533-position model. Lineage: Bacteria; Bacillati; Chloroflexota. The record is from RNAcentral.
UGGGGAAUAUUGCACAAUGGGCGCAAGCCUGAUGCAGCCAUGCCGCGUGUAUGAAGAAGGCCUUCGGGUUGUAAAGUACUUUCAGCGGGGAGGAAGGGAGUAAAGUUAAUACCUUUGCUCAUUGACGUUACCCGCAGAAGAAGCACCGGCUAACUCCGUGCCAGCAGCCGCGGUAAUACGGAGGGUGCAAGCGUUAAUCGGAAUUACUGGGCGUAAAGCGCACGCAGGCGGUUGAUUGAGUCAGAUGUGAAAUCCCCGGGCUUAACCCGGGGAUUGCAUCUGAUACUGGUCAGCUAGAGUCUUGUAGAGGGGGGUAGAAUUCCAUGUGUAGCGGUGAAAUGCGUAGAGGUGUGGAGGAAUACCGGUGGCGAAGGCGGCCCCCUGGACAAAGACUGACGCUCAGGUGCGAAAGCGUGGGGAGCAAACAGG